GAUGAACGCUGGCGGCGUGCCUAAUACAUGCAAGUCGAGCGAACAGACGAGGAGCUUGCUCCUUUGACGUUAGCGGCGGACGGGUGAGUAACACGUGGGUAACCUACCUAUAAGACUGGGAUAACUUCGGGAAACCGGAGCUAAUACCGGAUAAUAUUUCGAACCGCAUGGUUCGAUAGUGAAAGAUGGCUUUGCUAUCACUUAUAGAUGGACCUGCGCCGUAUUAGCUAGUUGGUAAGGUAACGGCUUACCAAGGCAACGAUACGUAGCCGACCUGAGAGGGUGAUCGGCCACACUGGAACUGAGACACGGUCCAGACUCCUACGGGAGGCAGCAGUAGGGAAUCUUCCGCAAUGGGCGAAAGCCUGACGGAGCAACGCCGCGUGAGUGAUGAAGGUCUUCGGAUCGUAAAACUCUGUUAUGAGGGAAGAACAAACGUGUAAGUAACUGUGCACGUCUUGACGGUACCUAAACAGAAAGCCACGGCUAACUACGU
This 496-nucleotide ribosomal RNA is filed under the name uncultured bacterium. Its description in RNAcentral is "partial 16S ribosomal RNA". It matches the Rfam family "Bacterial small subunit ribosomal RNA", at positions 28 to 506 of the family's 1533-position model. The record is from RNAcentral.